CUGCAAUACAUCUCCCAGGAAAACAAAACUCAGUAGCCAACUUUCUCAGCAGGAUAAGAUUAGACCCAGGGGAAUGGAGUCUAUCAAAUGACACAUUCCUUCAGAUUGCAGGGAAAUGGGGUCAUCCACAAAUAGAUCUGAUGGCGACAAGCAACAACAGGAAGGUGAAGAUUUUCUUCUCAAAAAUUCCACAUCCACAAGCCAUGGGAAGAGACGCACUAACAUGCAAUUGGGAAUUCGACCUGGCCUAUGCAUUGCCUCCAAAUCCUCUCAUCUUUCCGCUACUGAGGAGACUGAGACAACAGAAGGUAUCAUUAAUCCUGAUAGCCCCUUUUU
This is a non-coding RNA of Pelobates cultripes (western spadefoot toad), 336 nucleotides long. Lineage: Eukaryota; Metazoa; Chordata; Amphibia; Anura; Pelobatidae. The record is from the annotation of a GenBank genome assembly.